GUCCUUUUGAUAUUUAUUUAAGGUCUAACCUGCCCAAUGAUAAAAUUUAAUGGCCGCGGAAUUUGACCGUGCAAAGGUAGCAUAGUCACUUGUCUUUUAAUUGAAGGCUGGAAUGAAUGGUUGGACGCAAAUAAAUACUUUCUUUAUUUUAAUUUGUUUAAUUUAAUUUUUUAGUUAAAAAGCUAAAAUUUAUUUAUAGGACGAGAAGACCCUAUAGAACUUUAUUUUUAAAAAUUUGAAUAAAUAUUAGGUUAAUAAAUUUAAUUUAUAUUUUGAAAAUUCUGUUGGGGUGACAGUGAGAUUUAAUUAACUCUUAUUUAUAACUAUCAUUAAUGAGUGUAUUUUUGAUCCAAUUUUAUUGAUUAAAAGAUUAAGUUACCUUAGGGAUAACAGCGUAAUUUUAUUGAAGAGUUCUUAUCGAUAAUAAAGUUUGCGA
Molecule: ribosomal RNA, 436 nt
Filed under: Heleocoris sp. MBH-2004
Lineage: Eukaryota; Metazoa; Arthropoda; Insecta; Hemiptera; Naucoridae
Description: partial 16S ribosomal RNA
Source: RNAcentral